Long non-coding RNA from Pseudophryne corroboree (corroboree frog), 668 nucleotides. RefSeq lists it as uncharacterized. The record is from RefSeq and is a predicted model, not a curated record. The transcript is spliced from 2 exons. NCBI's taxonomy places the organism in Eukaryota, Metazoa, Chordata, Amphibia, Anura, Myobatrachidae.
GUGGGCCAUCCCUCCAGAUCCUGUCCCUGAAUGCUAAGUUCCCUGGGAACUCCCAUGAUGCACAUGUCAUUAGAAAAUCAGGGAUAUGGCAGAGAUUAAGAACGAUGGAAGGCCAAGACAUGUGGUUAUUGGGAGACCGUGGAUAUCCUUGCACCCCCUGGCUCAUGACUCCUUAUAGUAAGCCCAGGCCAGGACCACAGACGGCAUUUAACUCCGCGCUUACUGCCACUAGACAGCUGGUGGAGCGCAUGAUUGGUGUUCUUAAAGGGCGUUUUCGUGUGCUCCACCGCACUGGUGGCGACAUCAUGUAUUCGCCGGAGAUGGUAAGUAAAAUUGUGGUCCUGUGCGCUAUCCUACAUAACAUCGCUGUAAGGAGUCGCAAAGAGCUUCCCCAAACGGAGGAAUUGCCGGAUGAGGAGCCAGGGGUUGGCCGGACAUUUGGUGGGGGGAGUGUGUCCCGGCGGGGGAAUGAAGUAAGGGCAAGAAUUGUCCGUGAUUAUUUCAGGUAUUUUGUUUUUUCAUUAUUUAUUUUCGUUUUUCAAAGUCUCUGUAUUUGUAUUGUAAUUUUGUACUGAUGUCAUUUACGUAGCUUGGUAAAGUUCAUAGUGUGUUGGUUUUGUUUUGUGAGUCUAUAUUAUUGUUUGUUUAAUAAAUUAAUCUGUAAUGUU